UAUACAGCGAAACUGCGAAUGGCUCAUUAUAUAAGUUAUCGUUUAUUUGAUAGUACCUUACUACUUGGAUAACCGUGGUAAUUCUAGAGCUAAUACAUGCUAAAAAUCCCGACUUCGGAAGGGAUGUAUUUAUUAGAUUAAAAACCAAUGCCCUUUGGGCUCCUUGGUGAUUCAUAAUAACUUUUCGAAUCGCAUGGCCUUGCGCCGGCGAUGGUUCAUUCAAAUUUCUUCCCUAUCAACUUUCGAUGUUUGGGUAUUGGCCAAACAUGGUCGCAACGGGUAACGGAGGGUUAGGGCUCGACCCCGGAGAAGGAGCCUGAGAAACGGCUACUACAUCCAAGGAAGGCAGCAGGCGCGCAAAUUACCCAAUCCCGAUUCGGGGAGGUAGUGACAAUAAAUACUGAUACAGGGCUCUUUUGGGUCUUGUAAUUGGAAUGAGUACAAUUUAAAUCCCUUAACGAGGAACAAUUGGAGGGCAAGUCUGGUGCCAGCAGCCGCGGUAAUUCCAGCUCCAAUAGCGUAUAUUAAAGUUGUUGUGGUUAAAAAGCUCGUAGUUGAACCUUGGGCCUGGCUGGCCGGUCCGCCUCACCGCGUGUACUGGUCCGGCCGGGCCUUUCCCUCUGUGGAACCUCAUGCCCUUCACUGGGUGUGGCGGGGAAACAGGACUUUUACUUUGAAAAAAUUAGAGUGCUCCAGGCAGGCCUAUGCUCGAAUACAUUAGCAUGGAAUAAUAAAAUAGGACGUGUGGUUCUAUUUUGUUGGUUUCUAGGACCGCCGUAAUGAUUAAUAGGGACAGUCGGGGGCAUCAGUAUUCAAUUGUCAGAGGUGAAAUUCUUGGAUUUAUUGAAGACUAACUACUGCGAAAGCAUUUGCCAAGGAUGUUUUCAUUAAUCAGGAACGAAAGUUAGGGGAUCGAAGACGAUCAGAUACCGUCGUAGUCUUAACCAUAAACUAUGCCGACUAGGGAUCGGACGAUGUUAUUUUUUGACGCGUUCGGCACCUUACGAGAAAUCAAAGUGCUUGGGCUC
Molecule: ribosomal RNA, 1028 nt
Filed under: Lecanicillium aphanocladii
Lineage: Eukaryota; Fungi; Ascomycota; Sordariomycetes; Hypocreales; Cordycipitaceae
Description: SSU rRNA
Rfam family: Eukaryotic small subunit ribosomal RNA
Source: RNAcentral